This 449-nucleotide ribosomal RNA is filed under the name uncultured bacterium. RNAcentral's name for it is "partial 16S ribosomal RNA". It matches the Rfam family "Bacterial small subunit ribosomal RNA", at positions 29 to 523 of the family's 1533-position model. The record is from RNAcentral.
AACGAACGCUGGCGGCAUGCCUAACACAUGCAAGUCGAACGAGAUCUUCGGGUCUAGUGGCGCACGGGUGCGUAACGCGUGGGAAUCUGCCCUUUGGUUCGGAAUAACAGUUGGAAACGACUGCUAAUACCGGAUGAUGACGAAAGUCUAAAGAUUUAUCGCCAGAGGAUGAGCCCGCGUAGGAUUAGCUAGUUGGUGUGGUAAAGGCGCACCAAGGCGACGAUCCUUAGCUGGUCUGAGAGGAUGAUCAGCCACACUGGGACUGAGACACGGCCCAGACUCCUACGGGAGGCAGCAGUGGGGAAUAUUGGACAAUGGGCGAAAGCCUGAUCCAGCGAUGCCGCGUGAGUGAUGAAGGCCUUAGGGUUGUAAAGCUCUUUUACCCGGGAUGAUAAUGACAGUACCGGGAGAAUAAGCUCCGGCUAACUCCGUGCCAGCAGCCGCCGUAA